GCCAGGCAUGGUGGCGCAUGCCUGCAAUCCCAGUGGCUUGGGAGGCUGAGACAGGAGAAUCCAGAGUUCAAACCCAGCCUCUGCAACUGUGAGGCACUAAGCAACUCAGUGAGACCCUAUCUCUA
RNAcentral lists this small RNA (125 nucleotides) under Marmota monax (woodchuck). The record is from RNAcentral. Lineage: Eukaryota; Metazoa; Chordata; Mammalia; Rodentia; Sciuridae.